UGGCAAUGAUGUAUGAAUUUCUUCACCUGAAAUUACCGUGGAGAGUAAAAUCCGAGCUUUUUAACACUGAGCCAC
This is a small nucleolar RNA of Microcebus murinus (gray mouse lemur), 75 nucleotides long. Lineage: Eukaryota; Metazoa; Chordata; Mammalia; Primates; Cheirogaleidae. The record is from Ensembl.